Neoarius graeffei (lesser salmon catfish) is the source of this 753-nucleotide long non-coding RNA. RefSeq lists it as uncharacterized. NCBI's taxonomy places the organism in Eukaryota, Metazoa, Chordata, Actinopteri, Siluriformes, Ariidae. The record is from RefSeq and is a predicted model, not a curated record. The transcript has 2 exons.
AAUGACUUGUUUUGAAUAAUAAAACGGUCUGUAUGCGAACUUGCUAGGAUAACUUUACAGAACACCGGUCCGGCUGAGGUACUGUAGUGCUCGAGGGAGGAGCAGGAGCAAACCGAAACUCUUUUAAUCUGCCUUUAUUAAGUAACACUCACUCUUGUUUCGGUGAAGAAGAGAAAAGGCAGUGUCCAUCUCAGGAAAAUAAACCCGUUCGGCUGCUAGUUUUGUUUUCAGUCUCGGGUUUAUGGUUUCACGAGCGGCUUGAAUAGGCGGCGCGCGUGCACGCACAUGCAUGUGCGUGUGUGUGUGUAACUUGGCGACACCAAACUGAGGAGCUCCAGCCGAGCGGGUUGCAGGUGAGCCGGAGCCAAUCCCAGCUGACUUUGAGUGAGAUGUGGGAUCCACCCUGGAUAGAUUGCCAAUCUAUCGCAGGGCUAACACAGAGACGAACAAUCAUUCAUUCAUAUUCACUCCUAUAGGCCAUUUAGAGGUGCCAGUUGACCUAAUCCACGUCUUUGGACUGUGGGAGGAAACUGGAGCACCCAGAGGAAACUCACACAGGCACAGGAGAACAUGCAAACUCCACAUAGAAAGACCCCAGUUGGCUGCAAGGUUUGAACCCAGAACCUUCUUGCUGUGGUGAAAGUGUUUACCACUGCACCCCUGUGCCAUCCAUGUAAAAUGUUUAUGUACUGUAAUUAUGUAUUUUUCUAACAGUAAUUGUGAAUUAACUUUGAAAUAAAGUCCCUUUUUUUU